Molecule: ribosomal RNA, 25 nt
Filed under: Metrosideros boninensis
Lineage: Eukaryota; Viridiplantae; Streptophyta; Magnoliopsida; Myrtales; Myrtaceae
Source: RNAcentral
CGGGUGCGAUCAUACCAGCACUAAA